RNAcentral lists this ribosomal RNA (253 nucleotides) under uncultured bacterium. RNAcentral's name for it is "partial 16S ribosomal RNA". It matches the Rfam family "Bacterial small subunit ribosomal RNA", at positions 524 to 776 of the family's 1533-position model. The record is from RNAcentral.
UACGGAGGAUGCAAGCGUUAUCCGGAAUGAUUGGGCGUAAAGCGUCCGCAGGUGGCUAUGUAAGUCUGCUGUUAAAGAGUGAGGCUCAACCUCAUAAGAGCAGUGGAAACUACAUGGCUAGAGUGCGUUCGGGGCAGAGGGAAUUCCUGGUGUAGCGGUGAAAUGCGUAGAGAUUGGGAAGAACACCGGUGGCGAAAGCGCUCUGCUGGGCCGCAACUGACACUAAUGGACGAAAGCUAGGGGAGCGAAUGGG